RNAcentral lists this transfer RNA (87 nucleotides) under Flavisolibacter tropicus. RNAcentral describes it as "tRNA-Leu". It matches the Rfam family "tRNA". From Rfam's summary of the family: Transfer RNA (tRNA) molecules are approximately 80 nucleotides in length. Lineage: Bacteria; Pseudomonadati; Bacteroidota; Chitinophagia; Chitinophagales; Chitinophagaceae. The record is from RNAcentral. RNAcentral also lists the same sequence under 2 other names.
GCCCAGGUGGCGAAAUUGGUAGACGCACUACCUUGAGGUGGUAGCGCUGGAAACGGCGUGCUGGUUCGAAUCCAGUCUUGGGCACAA